Molecule: long non-coding RNA, 304 nt
Filed under: Elaeis guineensis (African oil palm)
Lineage: Eukaryota; Viridiplantae; Streptophyta; Magnoliopsida; Arecales; Arecaceae
Description: long non-coding RNA (EGUI_LNC014979)
Source: RNAcentral
AUUUGCUAUACACAGAUAAUGUUACAAUAAAAUUAUUAAAAAUUUUGAUUAACAUAUUUGGUAUGACAAUCAGAUUAUUAGUAAUGUGAAAUCAAAAUUUUAAAAUAUUUUCAUAAAAUUUUAUAAAAUUUUAAAUUACUGGAGAAGAGUUUGAUUUUAUUUUUUAAAUUUAAAUCAAAAUCUCCAAAAUACGCCGGAUGAGAGGAGGAAGCGGCAGUUAGAUCAUCAGAGGAGGGGGCGGUGACGAUGGAGGCAAGGAAGGAGAGGAUGUCGAUGCCAGCAUAGAAAUGGGGGCUGUGGUCAG